Molecule: microRNA precursor, 57 nt
Filed under: Echinops telfairi (small Madagascar hedgehog)
Lineage: Eukaryota; Metazoa; Chordata; Mammalia; Afrosoricida; Tenrecidae
Description: miRNA (ENSETEG00000025344.1)
Source: RNAcentral
ACAUCCCUCUGCUGGGCACGGGUAGGGCCUCUCAUGCACUGGGGUCUUGCUGGGCCU